This 554-nucleotide ribosomal RNA is filed under the name Colletotrichum gloeosporioides. RNAcentral's name for it is "eukaryotic LSU rRNA". It matches the Rfam family "Eukaryotic large subunit ribosomal RNA", at positions 78 to 655 of the family's 3401-position model. Lineage: Eukaryota; Fungi; Ascomycota; Sordariomycetes; Glomerellales; Glomerellaceae. The record is from RNAcentral. RNAcentral also lists the same sequence under 1 other name.
CCCUAGUAACGGCGAGUGAAGCGGCAACAGCUCAAAUUUGAAAUCUGGCUCUCGGGCCCGAGUUGUAAUUUGUAGAGGAUACUUUUGAUGCGGUGCCUUCCGAGUUCCCUGGAACGGGACGCCAUAGAGGGUGAGAGCCCCGUCUGGUUGGAUGCCAAAUCUCUGUAAAGUUCCUUCGACGAGUCGAGUAGUUUGGGAAUGCUGCUCUAAAUGGGAGGUAUAUGUCUUCUAAAGCUAAAUACCGGCCAGAGACCGAUAGCGCACAAGUAGAGUGAUCGAAAGAUGAAAAGCACUUUGAAAAGAGAGUUAAAAAGUACGUGAAAUUGUUGAAAGGGAAGCGUUUAUGACCAGACUUGGGCUUGGUUAAUCAUCUGGGGUUCUCCCCAGUGCACUUUUCCAGUCCAGGCCAGCAUCAGUUUUCCCCGGGGGAUAAAGGCUUCGGGAAUGUGGCUCUCUUCGGGGAGUGUUAUAGCCCGUUGUGUAAUACCCUGGGGGGGACUGAGGUUCGCGCAUCUGCAAGGAUGCUGGCGUAAUGGUCAUCAACGACCCGUCUU